This 315-nucleotide long non-coding RNA is filed under the name Panax ginseng (ginseng). RNAcentral's name for it is "long non-coding RNA (PGIN_LNC016056)". Lineage: Eukaryota; Viridiplantae; Streptophyta; Magnoliopsida; Apiales; Araliaceae. The record is from RNAcentral.
CCUUGGUCCGCCCUUCCACGAUCGCCGCCUUCACCUUCUCCAAAUCCCUCACGUCCACGAACGUCGUCGUGAUGUUGGAAGACCUCGGCAGGAAGUGGGUGAGUAGGGCGUGGGUCCCACCGUAGAGGGCCUGGGAGGCCACAAUGUUGUCGCCGCUGCUGACGAGGUGGAGCAGAACCGAGGAAAUCGCCGACAUGCCGCUGGCGGUGCAGUAGGCGGCCUCGGUGCCCUCGAGGGCGGCAAUCUGACGGCUGAGAUUGAGAACGGUGGGAUUGAAAUGACGGCUGUAGAUAAAGAAAUGGCGAUCGGGACCCA